This 253-nucleotide ribosomal RNA is filed under the name uncultured bacterium. RNAcentral describes it as "partial 16S ribosomal RNA". It matches the Rfam family "Bacterial small subunit ribosomal RNA", at positions 524 to 776 of the family's 1533-position model. The record is from RNAcentral.
UACGUAGGGGGCGAGCGUUGUCCGAAGUUACUGGGCGUAAAGCGCGCGUAGGCGGUUUCUUAAGUCUGAUGUGAAAGCCCACGGCUCAACCGUGGAGGGUCAUUGGAAACUGGGGAACUUGAGUGCAGAAGAGGAAAGUGGAAUUCCAAGUGUAGCGGUGAAAUGCGUAGAGAUUUGGAGGAACACCAGUGGCGAAGGCGACUUUCUGGUCUGUAACUGACACUGAGGCGCGAAAGCGUGGGGAGCGAACAGG